UACGUAGGUGGCAAGCGUUGUCCGGAUUUACUGGGCGUAAAGAGCGCGCAGGCGGUCGUAUAAGUCGAAUGUGAAAGCCCCCGGCUCAACUGGGGAGGGUCAUUCGAUACUGUUCGACUCGAAGGCAGGAGAGGGAAGUGGAAUUCCGGGUGUAGUGGUGAAAUGCGUAGAUAUCCGGAGGAACACCAGUGGCGAAGGCGGCUCACUGGCUCAUUACUGACGCUCAGGCGCGACAGCGUGGGGAUCAAACAGG
RNAcentral lists this ribosomal RNA (253 nucleotides) under uncultured bacterium. Its description in RNAcentral is "partial 16S ribosomal RNA". It matches the Rfam family "Bacterial small subunit ribosomal RNA", at positions 524 to 776 of the family's 1533-position model. The record is from RNAcentral.